GAAAUGCGAUAAGUAAUGUGAAUUGCAGAAUUCAGUGAAUCAUCGAAUCUUUGAACGCAUCUUGCGCUCCUUGGUAUUCCGAGGAGCAUGCCUGUUUGAGUGUCAUCAAGUUCUCAACUGCACCCAUUGGAAGGGGUGUGGCUUUGGAUAUGGAGGUUUUUCUUUGCAGGCUUGAGGUCUGCUCCUCUGAAAUGUAUUAGCGGUAUGUGAAAGCUACUGUGGGCGUGAUAAACUAUCUAUGCCUUUGCAGUUAUUUCUGUUGUGCUGCUUCUAGAGAGAGUUAUUAUUUUUGACAAACUUGACCUCAAAUCAGGUAGGACUACCCGCUGAACUUAA
Molecule: unclassified non-coding RNA, 336 nt
Filed under: uncultured Inocybe
Lineage: Eukaryota; Fungi; Basidiomycota; Agaricomycetes; Agaricales; Cortinariaceae
Description: sequence contains ITS1
Rfam family: 5.8S ribosomal RNA (bases 1-105)
Source: RNAcentral